Molecule: long non-coding RNA, 1192 nt
Organism: Ictalurus punctatus (channel catfish)
Lineage: Eukaryota; Metazoa; Chordata; Actinopteri; Siluriformes; Ictaluridae
Source: Ensembl
CGGCCUUAUUCUUAUUUAACUGCUUGUUUAAGUCACCUGGUCCACGGCCCACUAUGAUAAAUCAUAUUGUUUCUGAUGGAAGCUCGGACUAGUACAGAGUUUAUAGAGCACCAUAAUCUCAUAUGUCGUCUACGUGGCCUAACUAUAAAAUAGCCCGACAGUCCGCAGAUUUUACACAUGCCUUGUUUUACAUAAUUUUUCUCUGUCUGUCUGAAAUACCUGUCUGUCUCAACUCAUCGUGGUCACUUCAGAUGUCAAAAGGUUGACAGGGUUAUUUUCUUAGCCAGGGCGACCUGGAUAAGGCAAUUUAGAACCACCAAUUCAUUAUAAUGAUGUGGGAAAAUGUCUGCCAUUAUUGUGCAUCGACCAAAACGGUAGGGCCGUGGGAAACGAAAACCUAUGAGAAAUGCCCAAAUUCAGACUAAAAUCUUUUCUGUAACAUUCCAUUUGAAAUCCGUCAUUUCUACUGAGGCGCUUUUGUGCAGUAGCCUAGAGUAUUAAGCAGUAACCAUUAUCAGGUAUUUUGUAUAAAUACUUCGUUAUAUAUAUAUAUAUAUAUAUAUAUAUAUAUAUAUGAAUUGUAAAUAGGGUGUACCUACCCCUCUGCAGAGGAAACCAGUGAGCGUCUCAUCUCCACUAUGUAGCUUUAACAUCUCCAGCCUUCUCUUAUCCGUGCCCUGAUUGCACCGCAAGCAUGCUGUCACACUCCUUUUCUUGGAACAAAGUUUGGCCUCUCGCAGUUUGAAAUGUGUUUCUAGAGUUGGGAAUGCAAAAGCUUUGUUCAUAAGGAGGUGGAAUCAGUGGCGAGGCUGAAAGCGGCGAGUUUUUGAUUAAUGAGCUUUGAAAUGCCUCGCUAGGGGGGAGGAGGGUGAGAGAGCCAUUCAGUCAGGGAAGGAUUGCCAUGCCUAUAAAACUAGCAAUGUGUAGAAAUGCUUAAAUUCUCAAUGCUAUUCAUCGUCAAGUUAUAAGGUGGAUUUAAAUAAAUACGAACAUAGAAGUAAUUGUUGGAUGAUAUUUAAGAGACAUAAUAUUUAGUUGAAUAGCUUUAUUUAGUUGAAUUGUGGUAGGGUAUUUGAUUCCAUAUUGAGACGUGUUUACAAAACUGUAUUCUGCAGUAGCCCAAUUGAUGUGUAAAUAUCGCGAAAAUCAACAAUUAUUUUUGUUAUUUUUAAAGAACCUAAUGCGUAAAUAA